This 254-nucleotide ribosomal RNA is filed under the name uncultured bacterium. RNAcentral's name for it is "partial 16S ribosomal RNA". It matches the Rfam family "Bacterial small subunit ribosomal RNA", at positions 524 to 776 of the family's 1533-position model. The record is from RNAcentral.
UACGUAGGGUGCGAGCGUUGUCCGGAAUUAUUGGGCGUAAAGAGCUCGUAGGCGGUGUGUCACGUCGGCCGUGAAAACCUGCAGCUUAACUGUGGGCGUGCGGUCGAUACGGGCAUCACUGGAGUUCGGCAGGGGAGACUGGAAUUCCUGGUGUAGCGGUGAAAUGCGCAGAUAUCAGGAGGAACACCGGUGGCGAAGGCGGCUUGCUGGGCCUCACCUGACGCUGAGGAGCGAAAGCGUGGGGAGCGAACAGG